Molecule: long non-coding RNA, 478 nt
Organism: Bufo bufo (common toad)
Lineage: Eukaryota; Metazoa; Chordata; Amphibia; Anura; Bufonidae
Exons: 3
Source: RefSeq, a predicted model, not a curated record
AUUUAGAGCAGGGGGUUGUGCAGUGGUCAGCAACCUGUGGCUCUAGAGCCACAUGCGGCUCUUUAGCCCCCUGAUAUUGGCUCUUCCAGGUGCGGGCUCACAUGUACAGUGCGAUAGCAUUUUCGUAUCCCGUAGCAAAAAUAGGCAGGAGGGUGAAGACCAGGAAGCGGUGAGGGCUCUGUACUCACCGCUUCCUGGUCCUCGGUUGUAGGCUGUGCAGGGCUGCGCACAGUGUGAGGCGCUCUGUGACGUCACGCUGUGCACGCCAGUUCACAGCACAGCCGACAGCAGGAGGAACACAGAGCGCGGGUGGUGAGGAGCAGCGGCAUCCAGGAGCCGGAGAGGUAAGUGCUUUUUUAUUUUAUGAAACUUGGGGCUGAUCUAAGGCAAUGGGGUGAUGAGAAUCAUAAUGGGGGAUAUGAGAGGCAUCAUGGAUGAUGAGAGGCAUCAUGGAUGAUAAUGGGGAUGAUGAGAGGCA